CACGUAGGGGGCAAGCGUUGUCCGGAUUCAUUGGGCGUAAAGAGCUCGUAGGCGGCUCGGCAAGUCGGGUGUGAAACCUCCAGGCUCAACCUGGAGACGCCACUCGAUACUGCUGUGGCUAGAGUCCAGUAGGGGAGCGUGGAAUUCCUGGUGUAGCGGUGAAAUGCGCAGAUAUCAGGAGGAACACCAGCGGCGAAGGCGGCGCUCUGGGCUGGAACUGACGCUGAGGAGCGAAAGCGUGGGGAGCAAACAGG
This 254-nucleotide ribosomal RNA is filed under the name uncultured bacterium. RNAcentral describes it as "partial 16S ribosomal RNA". It matches the Rfam family "Bacterial small subunit ribosomal RNA", at positions 524 to 776 of the family's 1533-position model. The record is from RNAcentral.